This 118-nucleotide transfer RNA is filed under the name Segatella copri. Its description in RNAcentral is "tRNA-OTHER". Lineage: Bacteria; Pseudomonadati; Bacteroidota; Bacteroidia; Bacteroidales; Prevotellaceae. The record is from RNAcentral. RNAcentral also lists the same sequence under 1 other name.
GGGGUGUUCAGCUAGUAGGCAAGCGCAGGGUACAGGGAGGAAUAUUAGAGAGACUCUAAUACACUAUUUAUAGUGCUGCAACCAAUCGGCAUCAUGGGUUCGAUUCCCAUACACUCCA